GGGGCUGCGGGAGGUGACGCCGGGAGGUCCCGGCUGAGAGCGCCGGCUGCCGGCUGGGGACAUGGAAAUGCUUGAUGAAGCUGAUCGUGAUGGAGAUGGAGAAAUAAACGAGGAAGAUUUUUUGAGAGUGAUGAAAAAGACUACUCGUUAUUAAUAGCGUUGUUUUAGUCCUUGUGGAAAAUUAACAAAUUUGUAUUUGUUAUGCAGUUUUAUAAUUUAAUAUCUGAAUGUAUUCAUUUUCAGUUUUUAGUUUAUAUGUACACAUUGGCUUCUUGAUGUCUAAUCCAUGUAAGAAGUUACACAUCUCUACCAAUAUGAUGUUAAAUCUACAGCAUCAAGAAACAAAACAUAAUGACUUCUUUGAGCCAUUAAUCCAAGAACAGUAUUGAUUCUAGCUGCUCUUUUGAGAACCUUAGGUCACAAAGACUUAGAAUUUUAAAGUUUGAUGAAGUUGGCUUCACAUCCAAAUGAAUUUGGCAAACAAAACUUAUAUUUUCCUUUCGUGCAACCCAAAAAAACCUGAUAAACAUUUGCUUUUUAGUCAGUUACUCAAAUACAUAAAGUAUUAAAUAGAACUGUCUGGAAACAUUAUUUGCUAAUUUUCUUCUUUUAGUUAUAAAGAAAAUUCAAAAUAGCACUUACAUCACCCAUAUUUCCCUGUAAGUUUGACCCUAUAGUGAGCACUUAAUACCUCUGUGCUAGGACAGGUGGUGUAGAGUUUUAUUUUUAAAAAAAUUUAUUUAUAUAUUUUUUGAGACAAAAUCUCCCUCUGUCACCCAGGCUGGAGUGCAGUGGUGCUAUCUCGGCUCAAUGCAACUUCUGCCUCCUGGGCUCAAGAGAUUCUCCUGCCUCAGCCUCCCGAGUAGCUGGGACUACAGGUACCUGCCACCAUGCCUAGCUAAUUUUUUGCAUUUUUAGUAGAGACGGAGUUUCACUGUGUUAGCCAUGAUGGUCUCGAUCUCCUGACCUCGUGAUCUGCCUACCUCAGCCUCCCAAACUGCUGGGAUUACAGGGGUGAGCCACCAUGCCUGGCCGAGAUUUUAUGUGUUAACUUCAGUAAACAUAUUACAAGUUGGAAGCUGAUUGUAUUAGCUCCAUUUUACAUACAAGAAAACUAAAGUUCAGAGAAGUUUUAAAAAUUCCCCAGUUGCCCAUUGAUAAUAAAUAAAACAUGGAUUCCAAAUCUUAAGUUCUUAUUCUUCAUUAUGCUGCUUCCCUAUGGAUAAAACUUUGAAGAUAACUGUGUAUUUUCUAACUCAUUUUCAAUUCUGUGACUCUUGUGAUUUCUUCCUUGUGAAAGAGCCAAACUGUUGGGAAACGGAAUCUCAUACAUACAGUCUUUUAACUCCUACUCAGUUGUUUGAGAGUGGGCCUUGGGCCUGGAACACUUCUUUUGAAGAGACUAGGAGUCCACAGAGCCUGUGCUGAACUUACCACCCCGUAUAGUAAUAUCUUCCUCUGUUUCAGAGCCAAUGUGUAGUCCUUUGCCCUGCUUAAGUGUGUGCAUCAUAUGACAUCUGACCAACCCCACUGCUCUGUCUCCUGUGGGGGAGGAGAUGGGGGUCCUUCAGCACAAGAGGAGUGUUUGCAGGCCACCUGCCCUGUGUCAGCUGCCAAGAGGGACCCUCUGGUCAUGGGAGACUGAAGUCCACUAGGGAAGCUGAUCUUGCUCUGUCUCUUCUGUAUGUGAGUAAUGUGUGUUCCACCCAGUGUUUCACUGCAUUGUUUUCCUUGGCGACUUUGAAACAAGAUGCAGUGGACAGAAGUGCUCAGACUUCUGCUCCUGACAAAUAGGCAACAGAUGCCACUUGCUCCACACAAACACUUUCUGAUAACCAAGUUGUCUUUGGAGCAAGAAAGACUCAUAGAAAAUGUAACUAUAGUGACACUACCUGGUUCAUUUUUAGGACAACUGAAAUGAAAACUGAAGGUUUUAAUUUUGUCUUGUCAACACAAGAGGUUUUAUUUGAUUGAAACUAGAAUUGUAUGUGCUCAUGAGCAUUCUCAAGUGUUUUCACAGUGUCUUUGAUUUCUAAUUAUGUAACAUUUCUUCUAGACCAGGGAAAAACUUGCCUAUUAAAUGUGCUUCAUAUGUGAAAAUGUUAGCCUUCAAAUGGUUAAAAGUAUACAUGAACAAGUUCCAAAAGUUCUGAAUAAAAGUCUCCUUCC
This 2169-nucleotide small RNA is filed under the name Pan troglodytes (chimpanzee). RNAcentral's name for it is "processed transcript". The record is from RNAcentral. Lineage: Eukaryota; Metazoa; Chordata; Mammalia; Primates; Hominidae.